AAGCAAUAUGUGGAAGGAGAGAAUAAGAUACCAGAAGGAGCAACAGACUGAGAAGAACUUGCUUCAUGCUGAGAAGAAGCAGUCUGAGGAGAAACAAUCUGUGGCUGCAACUGAGAACUGAACAAGGCAAUCAAAUUCUGUAUCUGAUCAGGGGAGAAGUUACCAGCAAGAGUCUCAAGUUGUCCUGUCAUCUUAUCCGGAGAAAGAGUAACCUGAGCUGCCACUGCCUGAGGUUUUGGAGGUUUAUCAGAGGACUUCCCUUUAGGAGUGAAACCUGGUGGAAAACCAUGCUUCUUAUA
This 299-nucleotide small RNA is filed under the name Arabidopsis thaliana (thale cress). RNAcentral describes it as "ATSL106400". The record is from RNAcentral. Lineage: Eukaryota; Viridiplantae; Streptophyta; Magnoliopsida; Brassicales; Brassicaceae.